This 665-nucleotide ribosomal RNA is filed under the name Mycoplasma sp. Its description in RNAcentral is "bacterial SSU rRNA". It matches the Rfam family "Bacterial small subunit ribosomal RNA", at positions 384 to 1047 of the family's 1533-position model. Lineage: Bacteria; Bacillati; Mycoplasmatota; Mollicutes; Mycoplasmatales; Mycoplasmataceae. The record is from RNAcentral.
UGUAACUCCAACGCACGCGUGCAGUGAUGACGGCCUUCGGGCUGUAAACUGCUGUUAUUAAAGGAAAAAAAAGUCUAGGAGGAAAUGCCUUGACCUUGACGGUACCUUAUCAGAAAGCCACGGCUUACUAUGUGCCAGCAGCCGCGGUAAUACAUAGGUUGCAAGCGUUAUCCGGAAUUAUUGGGCGUAAAGCGUCUGUAGGUUGUUUGUUUAUCUGGUGUGAAACUUGGGGCUCAACCCCAAAUUGCCUUGGAUACUGGCAAACUAAAAUUGUGAAAAGGGUAACGGAAUUCCUUGGGAAGCGGUGAAAUGCGUAAAUAUAAGGAAGAACAUCAGCGGGGCAAAGGCACCUAAGGGGACGCAUAUUGACUCUGAGAAACAAAAGCGGGGGAAGCAAACAGAAUUAAAUCCCCUGGUCCCCCCCCCGUAACCGAUGAUGAUUAGCUGAUGGGGAACUCAUCGCGCGCACCUAACGCAUUAAAUCAUCCGCCUGAGUAGAAUGCUCGCAAGAGUGAAACUUAAAGGAAUUGACGGGGAUCCGCACAAGCGGUGAGAGCAUGUGGUUUAAUUUGAAGAUACGCGUAGAACCUUACCCACUCUUGACAUCUUCUGCAAAGCUAUAGAGAUAUAUGUGGGAGGUUAACAGAGUGACAGAUGGGUGCGAA